CACACGACUCUCGGCAACGGAUAUCUCGGCUCUCGCAUCGAUGAAGAACGUAGCGAAAUGCGAUACCUGGUGUGAAUUGCAGAAUCCCGCGAACCAUCGAGUCUUUGAACGCAAGUUGCGCCCGAGGUCAUUCGGCCGAGGGCACGCCUGCCUGGGCGUCACGC
RNAcentral lists this ribosomal RNA (164 nucleotides) under Helictotrichon sedenense. Its description in RNAcentral is "5.8S ribosomal RNA". It matches the Rfam family "5.8S ribosomal RNA". From Rfam's summary of the family: 5.8S ribosomal RNA (5.8S rRNA) is a component of the large subunit of the eukaryotic ribosome. It is transcribed by RNA polymerase I as part of the 45S precursor that also contains 18S and 28S rRNA. Functionally, it is thought that 5.8S rRNA may be involved in ribosome translocation. The record is from RNAcentral. Lineage: Eukaryota; Viridiplantae; Streptophyta; Magnoliopsida; Poales; Poaceae.